This 4131-nucleotide unclassified non-coding RNA is filed under the name Mizuhopecten yessoensis (Yesso scallop). RNAcentral's name for it is "sodium-dependent proline transporter-like, transcript variant X1". The record is from RNAcentral. Lineage: Eukaryota; Metazoa; Mollusca; Bivalvia; Pectinida; Pectinidae.
CACAACACUGAAUUUACCCCGUAUAUAGAUAUAUGGAUAUAUUGUCGUAUCUGCUUUGAGAUUCGUCAACAUGGAGGAUACAGAUCCUAAUACGGGCAAACCCUUUGCAACGAGUGACCCAGACAGACCAACAACGGACCAAAACAAUUCUGUUAGUACCAGGGAUGUCGGUAAGGCGGAGGAAGAGCCGGAGCGAGGGAAUUGGACAGGAAAACUGGACUUCCUGUUGUCAUGUAUAGGAUAUGCAGUAGGAUUGGGAAAUGUGUGGCGUUUUCCCUAUCUCUGUUACAGGAACGGAGGGGGUGCUUUCCUCGUUCCCUAUGUCAUCAUGUUGUUGGUGGCUGGUCUACCUCUUUUCUUCCUGGAGCUAUGUGUGGGUCAGUUCUCCUCUCAGGGGCCUGUUACUGCCUGGGCACUCAGUCCACUUUUCAUGGGUAUCGGCUGGGCCAUGAUUUUGAUCAGUGCCAUGGUGUGUACGUAUUACAACGUCAUCAUCAUGUACGCCGUCUAUUACAUGUUCGUGUCCUUCGUCAACCUUGACGACGAGUUGCCAUGGCAGAAAUGUGGAAAAGCCUGGAACACGGAUAAGUGUAGGGAUGAACCGUACCCUGACCUUUCAUCUAUGAAUGAGACGAUGAAGGUCAACGCUACACUAGGACUGAAAGACCAGACAUGUCUGUCUAAUAUACUGGGAACUCUAAGUACGCUACUCAACCAAACCUUCACAUCUGUAUCACAACUCAACUCCACAGUCCUAGCAGAUCAUACCGAAGACUGUGAUAUCAAAUUCGCGACAGCUAGUAGCGAAUACUGGAAUCGGUACGUACUGAGGGUUCACGAGUCUGACGGUCUUGAAGACAUCGGAAGUGUGAGUCUGAAAAACGUCCUCUGUCUCCUUAUCUGCUGGCUCUUCAUCUUCUUCUGUCUCAUGAAAGGUGUCAAGUCAUCGGGAAAGGUAGUAUAUUUCACCGCCACCUUCCCUUACGUCGUCCUCCUCAUUCUGCUGAUCCGUGGCGUCACCCUCCCAGGCUACUACAAAGGAAUCGAGUUCUACAUCUUCCCUAAAUGGGAGCUGCUGAAAAACCCAAAGGUAUGGGGGGAUGCUGCCACCCAGAUAUUUUACUCGCUCGGACCAGCCUUUGGGGGUCUUCUCACCAUGGCUAGUUACAAUAAGUUUAACAACAACUGUCUGCGUGACGCUGUGAUUGUAUCGUUCAUCAACUGUGGUACCAGUGUGUUUGCUGGCUUCGCUAUUUUCUCACUACUUGGUUACAUUUCCCAUACCACCAACGUGCCAAUCGAUAAGGUGGCAGAUAGCGGUCCAGGGUUGGCCUUCAUUGCCUACCCAGAAGGCAUUGCCAAACUGCCCAGUCCACCAAUAUUCGCCUUCCUCUUCUUCUUCAUGUUGUUUACUCUCGGACUUGACAGCCAGUUCGCCAUGAUGGAGACAGUCAUCAGCGGCAUCACAGACGUGUUUCCUAGGCAGCUAAGGAGUAGAAAGGCGCUCUUUACAUUCUUCUGCUGUAUGGUGGGGUUCGUAUUGGGUAUACCCCAGACGUGUAAGGGAGGUAUAUACCUGCUCACACUUGUUGAUUGGUACUCUGGUAGCUACAAUCUCAUGAUCGUCAGCUUCGUUGAAAUUGUAGGAAUUAUCUACGUAUACGGAAUCAAUAACUUCCGCCAAGAUAUCGAACUGAUGUUGGGAAAAAAAAGUCCGAUUGUAUGGGCUUAUUUCUACACGAUGUGGUUCGUCGUUACUCCACUAGCCAUUUUUUUCAUCGUGAUCAUGAUGGCUAUCAAUUACUCACCCGCCGUGCUGGGAGACUACACUUUCCCACCCUUUGCUGAGGCCAUCGGCUGGAUGAUGGUAUUGGCGCCCCUUAUGCUAAUCAUAAUUGGUGCAAUAGUCCAGAUUGUGAGGAAGGGAGGGGUUAGUGCCGCCAUCAAAUCAGAACCACAUUGGGGUCCUUCCGCUGACAAGGACCGCAAAGGCCCAAGAUAUGCCCCCAUUCAGAACCUACAAGCCGUCCCUGGAGGAAACGGCCACUUCCCAUCAAAUGUAGGCUACAACAGCGACAAGGGUAACCUCUACAUGGUUGGGCAGGACAACAAAGGCAUGAACCCGGACGCGGAACGGCUUUAAUACUGUAAUGAACGUCUGAUCGCCGGAAGCUGAUGACAGUUACAAGCGACAACUGACUGCUAACAAAACACAGGAAGUUCUCUUGGCCAUCUGUACUAGACCACCAAUAUGGAAUGUACGCCAUGGCCCUAUUAAACUUAGCUUGCAUUCAUAAGGAUGAGUCUGUGCUUGAAGUCAAUAUUCGCAUGACCGCCUUUUUCUAUAUAGAUAUUUAGUCCGACCCGCUGACUUUUCACGCAGUUUUAUGUGUGUCAUGCGACCAUUAGUAGGUAGUGUACGGAUAUAGAAGGAAAGGGCACACAUUCCCCUAAACUCAGACAACAAUUCAAUUUGUUUCAAAACCUGGUAUUUUAAAAGUAUUGUAUGUAUCUACCCCUAGAAUAUAUAAAGUGUCUCCUUAGAAUUCGAGUGGACUUUACAAUGCUCCAGCACACACACACGCACGCCAUAUUGAAGCUGUAUCACAUGUGUCCCCUAUCAUCAACAUGAAAUCCUGUAGUUAAUGGCGCGAAACGGUGAACCGAUCACGAUAUGUUUCUAUCUAUCAGACAGUUUAAGAACAAUUCGAAUGCUUCCUAUUUGACGCCAUUUCUAUCUUUUGAAGAAAGUCGUUUUUUUAUUGGCAAAUACAAAUUUCAAAACGAAAUAUACAAUAUACCAUGUGUAUUGCCACACCAAUGAGUGGAGUGUUUUUUACUCUGUGAAAUCCAGCUACAUAGUAUGGUAAUAUAUAAUGAUAUAAUUCUCAUAUGCUCAAGUACAUUCGGAACUUACAUGUAACAUAGAAAAGCACAUGUUGUACUGGUUAUAUUUGUUUCCUAUCUAACGUCUUCAUGUAACUAUGUUAGAUAUGUUUGCUCUUCAUUGACUGUGUAACUAGUCUAUUGGUUAUUUUUAUAAUUUAAUGCCUCGUGUUCAUUUUACAUAUCAAGUUAUACGUUUUAUUGCAGUAUACCUGACAAAAUUCACUUUAUUUUUUAUUUUAUUUUAAUGCAAAGAAUACAUUUUAUUUUGGGUGAAUUCGUAAGUGUCUGAUGUUACCUAUGAUAAUUGUCUUUUAACGUUAAAAUUUGGAAAAGUCACUGUGUCAGAAUGCAUGAACACGUGUUUCAUUUACGUUAUAGUAGAGUGUGUAACCUCCCUUAUUAAAAUAAAGCUAUUCCAUGUUAAUCAUAUAAUACACAUUUUAAUACGCAAAAAGUCAUUUAUGUUAAUAAGAGAUAAGUAGCCAUAUAAAAUGUCAUACUCCGAAAUGCAACGGUUAUAGCCAUAUACAAUCUGAUAUAAUGGAUAACAAAGGUAAUUAUCUAGACAGAAUACCAUGCUAUGGACAACAAUGAUAAUAAUUCGCCAUAUAGAAUCCUACAUUAUGGAAAACAACUUUAAUGUAAAAUCCUAUACAUACGACAUUUUGUGUGUGUUACAUGAGUUAAUAGUGCAUGAUAGCUAGGUUUUUUUCUGUAAGUGAAAAUUAAUGGUUUGCAGCCAGUCUUCUAUCAUCUAUAUAUAUGCGAAGGGUAAGCUACUUGCAGUAAUGGGAUCGAUAUUUUAACUAGAGAAAAUACAUCAAAGUAACACUGUGGUCUCCGCUAUACAAUUCAACUCACACUGCAGGGAGUUUGUAGAAUAGAAAUUUUGCGUAUUUUUUUUAUAACAGUCAGACCUCGUUUUCUCAAUGGAAAUGGAUCCUAAAAAACAUAGAAACGCACAGGGCAUUACUAAAUAUAGUCUAAUUAAAAGCUAAUUUUACCGAUAUCAUUUAACGAGGUCUGACUGCACUAUGCUUAAUUAGUUUGUAGAAUGUUCUGUGGACAGUAUUGUAGGUAUACCCGUGGACAGUAUUGUAGGUAUACCCGUGGACAGUAUUGUAGGUAUACCCGUGGACAGUUCCUCUUACAUGUUUCCUGUUAGUACUGUAUCAUGUGCACGUAAGAAAAUCUUUGUAUAUUAUAAGCAGAUAUUUUUAUUAAUAAAAUCUGAUAAUCCAU